RNAcentral lists this ribosomal RNA (253 nucleotides) under uncultured bacterium. Its description in RNAcentral is "partial 16S ribosomal RNA". It matches the Rfam family "Bacterial small subunit ribosomal RNA", at positions 524 to 776 of the family's 1533-position model. The record is from RNAcentral.
UACGUAGGCAGCAAGCGUUGUUCGGAAUUACUGGGCGUAAAGAGUGUGUAGGCGGUGCUCUAAGUCUGGUGUGAAAUCUCCCGGCUUAACUGGGAGGGUGCAUUAGAAACUGGAAUGCUAGAGGAUGGGAGAGGUAAGCGGAAUUCCUGGUGUAGCGGUGAAAUGCGUAGAUAUCAGGAGGAACACCUGUGGUGUAGACAGCUUACUGGACCAUUUCUGACGCUGAGACACGAAAGCGUGGGUAGCAAACAGG